UUUACUCAAUUUUUUAACCGUCUGCAUAACUUUAUUUUUUUUACAAGUCCGUUUAGCUCAGAUAAAGUGGACAAGCCUCAAUGGGAUAAGCUAAGAGUCUGAUGUUUAGUGAAUUCUGGAACCAAUAAAACUACAUCAACAUCAUGCCGACACAAUUUGCGACAUGGGCCAGUACAGAUAAGUUAUAAACGGACCUUUGCUGCCUCCGGAGAUGUACGACGGCGUGUCCCAAUGAAAAGCGUUUAAAAUAUCAACACCACGAACGGGUGUAGAUAUUCGAAACUUAUUCUUUUUAGGUUUUAUAAUUUGUUUUAUAUCCCGCCAUGACGUUUUCAAACUUCCACUGCUGUCUGACGACAAGUCCUCUGAAUUUAAAGUCUUUUCACUAUGUGACUUAAAUAAAUUAGAUGUUGCAUCUUCUUUGUUCAAAUAA
Molecule: long non-coding RNA, 433 nt
Organism: Bombyx mori (domestic silkworm)
Lineage: Eukaryota; Metazoa; Arthropoda; Insecta; Lepidoptera; Bombycidae
Exons: 2
Source: RefSeq, a predicted model, not a curated record